AUCUAUUUUAAAAGAGGAUUUUUUUUGUUAUCGUUAGGUUUUCCCUAUAUUAGUUGUUGGUGACAUUUUCAUGUUCUUUAGGCUGAUUUUUCUCAGAAUGAUCUCUACACACAUAACCUCUUUCUAAUGUGUGGCGUGAGUUGAAUACAGUAUCUUUCUGUUAACCUAAUGUGAAUAUUAGAUUGUUUUCAAAUUAUCCAUGAAUUACUUUUAUAAUCACCUCUUAUAUAUUUUUACGUGUCUUCUCUCUUACUCCAUUAUGAAUUAAGGUGAUUUAACAAAUUUAACGAUAUGGCUUACAUGAGAAGGAAAACUGAACUUUUCAACUGUCGGAACUUGAGUAGAGGGGGAUAACGGAAGGCUCUUCCGUGCUCUGCCUGUCCCGUGUGGUACUGGGGCUGCUGCUGCUUCAGCUGUCAGGGCUGACCCGUGAAACGACGCUGGCCCUGCUCUGCCACCUUUCCAGAAGUCAGUUUCCUGCUUUUUCACAUGUUUCCAGCAUUUCUCUGCUAAAGUUGAAUGUGUUUUCAUACUAAUGUAUUUUUACCUUAACAGAUGUUGGUCAGUUACUUAAUAAAUGAUGAUUUUUUUUUUUUUUUUAAUUCUGUUUUGCUGAGGCCACCCUUUCUAGAUUUCAGGGCCCAAGAGAAAACAAUGGAAGAAAGGAUUUACAAUUUUGGUGGAGGUGAACUAACUUUUUAAGCAAUUAAAAUACCUAAGUAAUCUU
This 727-nucleotide long non-coding RNA is filed under the name Bos taurus (domestic cattle). RNAcentral describes it as "long non-coding RNA NONBTAT021472". The record is from RNAcentral. Lineage: Eukaryota; Metazoa; Chordata; Mammalia; Artiodactyla; Bovidae.